Molecule: ribosomal RNA, 509 nt
Filed under: uncultured fungus
Lineage: Eukaryota; Fungi
Description: SSU rRNA
Rfam family: Eukaryotic small subunit ribosomal RNA
Source: RNAcentral
AGCAGACCGCGGUAAUUCCAGCUCCAAUAGCGUAUAUUAAAGUUGUNGCAGUUAAAAANCUCGUAGUNGAAUUUCGGGAUCAGCAGGUUGGUCGUGCCUCUGGUAUGCACUGGUUUCGCUGAUUCCUCCUUUCUGAAGAACUGUAAUGUCAUUAAUUUGGUGUUGCAGGGAAACAGGACCGUUACUUUGAAAAAAUUAGAGUGUUUAAAGCAGGCUAACGCUUGAAUACAUUAGCAUGGAAUAAUGAAAUAGGNCGUUUGAUCCUAUUUUGUUGGUUUCUAGGAUUGACGUAAUGAUUAAUAGGGAUAGUUGGGGGCAUUAGUAUUCAAUUGUCAGAGGUGAAAUUCUUGGAUUUAUUGAAGACUAACUACUGCGAAAGCAUUUGCCAAGGAUGUUUUCAUUAAUCAAGAACGAAAGUUAGGGGAUCGAAGACGAUCAGAUACCGUCGUAGUCUUAACCAUAAACUAUGCCGACUAGGGAUCGGNNGAUGUUAAUUUUUUAAUGACUCA